GGGUUGUGAGGUUAAGCGACUAAGCGUACACGGUGGAUGCCCUGGCAGUCAGAGGCGAUGAAGGACGUGCUAAUCUGCGAUAAGCGCCGGUAAGGUGAUAUGAACCGUUAUAACCGGCGAUUUCCGAAUGGGGAAACCCAGUGUGACUCGUCACACUAUCAUUAACUGAAUCCAUAGGUUAAUGAGGCGAACCGGGGGAACUGAAACAUCUAAGUACCCCGAGGAAAAGAAAUCAACCGAGAUUCCCCCAGUAGCGGCGAGCGAACGGGGAGGAGCCCAGAGCCUGAAUCAGCAUGUGUGUUAGUGGAAGCGUCUGGAAAGGCGCGCGAUACAGGGUGACAGCCCCGUACACAAAAGCGCAUGUGCUGUGAGCUCGAUGAGUAGGGCGGGACACGUGGUAUCCUGUCUGAAUAUGGGGGGACCAUCCUCCAAGGCUAAAUACUCCUGACUGACCGAUAGUGAACCAGUACCGUGAGGGAAAGGCGAAAAGAACCCCGGCGAGGGGAGUGAAAAAGAACCUGAAACCGUGUACGUACAAGCAGUGGGAGCCCCACCACUAAGCCAGUGGUGAACUCCACAUACGCAUCCUUUGCUGAGGAUACGGUUAACGGAGCGAAAGCGACGUUCAACCUCAAAAGAAGCAGAGGGGGCUUAGUGGUGGGGUGACUGCGUACCUUUUGUAUAAUGGGUCAGCGACUUAUAUUCUGUAGCAAGGUUAACCGAAUAGGGGAGCCGGAGGGAAACCGAGUCUUAAUUGGGCGUUAAGUUGCAGGGUAUAGACCCGAAACCCGGUGAUCUAGCCAUGGGCAGGUUGAAGGUUGGGUAACACUAACUGGAGGACCGAACCGACUAAUGUUGAAAAAUUAGCGGAUGACCUGUGGCUGGGGGUGAAAGGCCAAUCAAACCGGGAGAUAGCUGGUUCUCCCCGAAAGCUAUUUAGGUAGCGCCUCGUGAAUUCAUCUCCGGGGGUAGAGCACUGUUUCGGCUAGGGGGCCAUCCCGGCUUACCAACCCGAUGCAAACUGCGAAUACCGGAGAAUGUUAUCACGGGAGACACACGGCGGGUGCUAACGUCCGUCGUGAAGAGGGAAACAACCCAGACCGCCAGCUAAGGUCCCAAAGUCAUGGUUAAGUGGGAAACGAUGUGGGAAGGCCCAGACAGCCAGGAUGUUGGCUUAGAAGCAGCCAUCAUUUAAAGAAAGCGUAAUAGCUCACUGGUCGAGUCGGCCUGCGCGGAAGAUGUAACGGGGCUAAACCAUGCACCGAAGCUGCGGCAGCGACGCUUAUGCGUUGUUGGGUAGGGGAGCGUUCUGUAAGCCUGUGAAGGUGUGUCGUGAGGCAUGCUGGAGGUAUCAGAAGUGCGAAUGCUGACAUAAGUAACGAUAAAGCGGGUGAAAAGCCCGCUCGCCGGAAGACCAAGGGUUCCUGUCCAACGUUAAUCGGGGCAGGGUGAGUCGACCCCUAAGGCGAGGCCGAAAGGCGUAGUCGAUGGGAAACGGGUUAAUAUUCCCGUACUUGGUGUUACUGCGAAGGGGGGACGGAGAAGGCUAUGUUGGCCGGGCGACGGUUGUCCCGGUUUAAGCGUGUAGGCUGGUUUUCCAGGCAAAUCCGGAAAAUCAAGGCUGAGGCGUGAUGACGAGGCACUACGGUGCUGAAGCAACAAAUGCCCUGCUUCCAGGAAAAGCCUCUAAGCAUCAGGUAACAUCAAAUCGUACCCCAAACCGACACAGGUGGUCAGGUAGAGAAUACCAAGGCGCUUGAGAGAACUCGGGUGAAGGAACUAGGCAAAAUGGUGCCGUAACUUCGGGAGAAGGCACGCUGACACGUAGGUGAAGUGAUUUACUCAUGGAGCUGAAGUCAGUCGAAGAUACCAGCUGGCUGCAACUGUUUAUUAAAAACACAGCACUGUGCAAACACGAAAGUGGACGUAUACGGUGUGACGCCUGCCCGGUGCCGGAAGGUUAAUUGAUGGGGUCAGCGCAAGCGAAGCUCCUGAUCGAAGCCCCGGUAAACGGCGGCCGUAACUAUAACGGUCCUAAGGUAGCGAAAUUCCUUGUCGGGUAAGUUCCGACCUGCACGAAUGGCGUAAUGAUGGCCAGGCUGUCUCCACCCGAGACUCAGUGAAAUUGAACUCGCUGUGAAGAUGCAGUGUACCCGCGGCAAGACGGAAAGACCCCGUGAACCUUUACUAUAGCUUGACACUGAACAUUGAGCCUUGAUGUGUAGGAUAGGUGGGAGGCUUUGAAGUGUGGACGCCAGUCUGCAUGGAGCCGACCUUGAAAUACCACCCUUUAAUGUUUGAUGUUCUAACGUGGACCCGUGAUCCGGGUUGCGGACAGUGUCUGGUGGGUAGUUUGACUGGGGCGGUCUCCUCCUAAAGAGUAACGGAGGAGCACGAAGGUUGGCUAAUCCUGGUCGGACAUCAGGAGGUUAGUGCAAUGGCAUAAGCCAGCUUGACUGCGAGCGUGACGGCGCGAGCAGGUGCGAAAGCAGGUCAUAGUGAUCCGGUGGUUCUGAAUGGAAGGGCCAUCGCUCAACGGAUAAAAGGUACUCCGGGGAUAACAGGCUGAUACCGCCCAAGAGUUCAUAUCGACGGCGGUGUUUGGCACCUCGAUGUCGGCUCAUCACAUCCUGGGGCUGAAGUAGGUCCCAAGGGUAUGGCUGUUCGCCAUUUAAAGUGGUACGCGAGCUGGGUUUAGAACGUCGUGAGACAGUUCGGUCCCUAUCUGCCGUGGGCGCUGGAGAACUGAGGGGGGCUGCUCCUAGUACGAGAGGACCGGAGUGGACGCAUCACUGGUGUUCGGGUUGUCAUGCCAAUGGCACUGCCCGGUAGCUAAAUGCGGAAGAGAUAAGUGCUGAAAGCAUCUAAGCACGAAACUUGCCCCGAGAUGAGUUCUCCCUGAGACUUAAAGUCUCCUGAAGGAACGUUGAAGACGACGACGUUGAUAGGCCGGGUGUGUAAGCGCAGCGAUGCGUUGAGCUAACCGGUACUAAUGAACCGUGAGGCUUAACCUUACAACGCCGAAG
RNAcentral lists this ribosomal RNA (3026 nucleotides) under Salmonella enterica. RNAcentral describes it as "23S ribosomal RNA". It matches the Rfam family "Bacterial large subunit ribosomal RNA". The record is from RNAcentral. Lineage: Bacteria; Pseudomonadati; Pseudomonadota; Gammaproteobacteria; Enterobacterales; Enterobacteriaceae.